RNAcentral lists this ribosomal RNA (525 nucleotides) under uncultured bacterium. RNAcentral's name for it is "bacterial SSU rRNA". It matches the Rfam family "Bacterial small subunit ribosomal RNA", at positions 773 to 1304 of the family's 1533-position model. The record is from RNAcentral.
AGGAAAUAGAUACCCCGGUAGUCCACGCCGUAAACGAUGGAUACUAGCUGUUCGGAGCAAUCUGAGUGGCUAAAGCGAAAAGUGAUAAGUAUCCCACCUGGGGAGUACGCACGCAAGUGUGAAACUCAAAGGAAUUGACGGGGGCCCGCACAAGCGGUGGAGCAUGUGGUUUAAUUCGAUGAUACGCGAGGAACCUUACCAGGGCUUAAAUGUAGAUUGACAGGACUGGAAACAGUUUUUUCUUCGGACAAUUUACAAGGUGCUGCAUGGUUGUCGUCAGCUCGUGCCGUGAGGUGUCAGGUUAAGUCCUAUAACGAGCGCAACCCCUGUCGUUAGUUGCCAGCGAGUCAUGUCGGGAACUCUAACGAGACUGCCAGUGUAAACUGUGAGGAAGGUGGGGAUGACGUCAAAUCAUCACGGCCCUUACGUCCUGGGCCACACACGUGCUACAAUGGUAGGUACAGAGAGCAGCCACUGCGCGAGCAGGAGCGAAUCUACAAAACCUAUCUCAGUUCGGAUCGGAGU